UACAAGAAAAAAGGAGAACAGCGACUAUCAAAUAGCAACGGUUCUAGGCAAACUGCUGCCGCUUCCACCUUUACCAGCUGUUUCAAACUGCCGCAGUCAUCAGUGUAUUACCGGCCGUUCAAACCGCCACUCUUUCUAAAGCGACGGUCAAAUAGCCGCUGUUAUCAAGAAGAAGCACUCUUUCUCCAUAGUUCAAAGACGUCGUAGUUCCGAAUCUUCUAAUCCACAGUUGUUGUGCCUCUCGUCGCCACCGUAGCUGUUCUUCAACAGGUACUCUCCUCUUUCGAUCUAUCAGAACGGACCAGGUUAUCAUCUCCGAUUACUCUCUUGUUAAUUUGUUGUUAACUUGAUUAUGCUGAUUUUGAAUGAUGAUAAUUUGUUAAUUUCUUGGAUUCUUCACAGUUUGAUUUUAGGGUUUUUGAGUUUAUUGGUUUAAUUUCUUGGAUUCUUUUACAGUUUAAUUAUCAGGGUUUUGAUAUUUUGUUAAUUCUCUUGGAUUUCAUAUCUUUGAAUUAAAGCCUCAAAUGAAAAAUUAAACCUUUCAAAACCUUCCCAAACUCUAUCACUCAGAAUCUGGAUUUGGUUACAUACCAAUUUAUUAGUUUGAUUUGUUAUGUUUGUGGAUUGUUGUUUAUUUUUGAAAUUUUCUAUAAGCAUUUGGCAUAAACAGUUGCGAGACUAUUUGGGACAUGUUUAAAAGGGUUUUAAUAUAUGGUUUUAGUCUAAUAGUAGAUCUCUUAAACUGAUAUUUUUUCUGAUAUAGUUAUCACUUUGUAAUUACAUUAAUAUAUGGCCUGGUGCUAUUAUUCAUCAUUGAAUUCAUCUAUGAUUGGGCUAAACAAGAAGCAAUUGCAAACAUCACUUUAAACUAAGCAAGGGAUGGCUGUACAUAUAUUUCAUUCCCCUUUUCCUAACAUUGGAAAAUACAUACUCUUAGUAAUUAGGAAGGGAUGGCUGUACAUAUAGAUUCGUUAAUAUUGAAUCAAUUGAAAUAAGUGGUAUAGAUACUUUCGAGACCCUUCUCUAUUCCCCCUAACAGUGUGUGUUGGUGUGUGAGGGAUAUUUAUAUCAUGUCAAACUAAGGUCAAUUAGGAUUUAGUCAUGUGAAUAACAAAAUCACUAGUUCUUUUUUUUUGUCCGGAUAUAGUAAUCAACAGAUUCCAAUAUAAUAAUCCUUACCUCUUUGAAAGGACUUGAUCACAAACAGGGCAUGCUCCAUCAUUGCUUAACAUUUCAUUGGCAUCUUUAGUGCAUGUUAACUAUGUUAAGGAAACCAUAACUAUGUGAAUAACUACCUGAAUAACAUAACAAAUAGGAGUAUCUACCUAAUUUGAUAUGAACUAUACUGAUUUUAUUUUGAAGUUAAGGAACUCAAGGGCAAAAUUGAGAAAAAUGCAUCUGAGUUUAGGCUAAUAUUUCUGUGGGAAGAAAUUAAAUUGUCCACUCAAUGAUAAGUUGGAUCUAUAAUUUGAGUAGUCAUUACAACCAAGUCAUUACAGCUCCUCCAUCAACUGAUGGGCCUACACCAGCUACUAACCAACCUAUAUCACCUCCAAGUAAUGAACCUGAAAACAACGAUGAAUCUCAAUUUGCAGUCAACAAUCCAUCAAACAAGCCAAAGAAAAAGUCCAUGACAUAUUGGACGAUUGAUGUAAGAGAACCACCAUUUGAGUUCUACGCCAUGGAGGUAGCUUCAGAAGCCAUUUAUAGUUGCACGCACAACUGAAUUGGAGACGGAUGCUUAUAUUGCAUUAGAUGAACUUACUUCCAAGUUCAGAUAUCUUACGAGUUAUGAGUUAUGAGUUAUUCUUCACAUAAUUGAGGCUCUUGCAGCAGAUAACAGCAGCCUGGAGGAGCUUAACCUUGCUGAUAAUUCUGUUCCGACUGAACUUUCUGCUCUACAAUGUGAUUUACCAUCUAAAAGCUGCUCACAGAACCAGGAAGAUAAACUUGAUACUAUGCAUCUCAUCUGCAACCUGUGUAGUAGAUGCAUGGAGGAUGAAGUUGGAUGCGUUUGGAGCAAUUAUGCAGGAAAUUCUGAAUUCUUAAACUAAAUUUGUUAAUCGGAUGCAUUCAGUAAUGAACGAGUAGACAUCUGUUUUCAAUUUCGACAUUCGAUAAAGGCUGUUUUUCAUUUCUUCAAUUUUAGUAUUAUUACGGUGGGAGGCUUGGAGUUCACCAAUAUAAUGUAGAACUUAUUCUCUUGACAUGGUUCAGGCAAAGGCACAUGGUGCUAAUGUAGUGGAAGUUGCCUAUCCUUAUUGUUUAUCAUGGCCAAAUUGUGAAGGUGGUUUACAUGACGACGAUGUGCACGUACGCACGGUUGCAAGCGUUAAAGCUUGCUUUGGAAUUGGGGCUGUUUUUUUAUAGAAUUGGAUCUCAAGGUAUACCAACAGUAAUUCAAGUGUGAAAUUAGAUGAUCUGUAUAGUUGAUUUUCUAUAUUGCUUUAGUGUGUUAACUCAAAGCAACUUUGAUGUAAACUUGUGAGUAUCGUUUUCUACAUGAAUUGUGAGAAUCAAUUACUUGAUAUGA
Long non-coding RNA from Trifolium pratense (red clover), 2533 nucleotides. RefSeq lists it as uncharacterized. The transcript has 9 exons. The record is from RefSeq and is a predicted model, not a curated record. NCBI's taxonomy places the organism in Eukaryota, Viridiplantae, Streptophyta, Magnoliopsida, Fabales, Fabaceae.